GGGAGGGAAGGAGGGUAGGAGAGAGUUAAAGAGGGAAGAAAGGAGGGAGGGAAGGAGGAGGGAAGGAAAGAAGGAAAGAGAAAAAGACACCUCCAGCCUGGGGCGCCCGCGGAAACUCCUGGACAGAGGACGCCCCACUCUCAGGUCGGUAGGGAGGCGGUGAGAGAGACUCUGUACCCCCCACCCCCCCCCAGCCCCGCAGCCCUAGGCCCGCGGAGGGAGACGGGAGAGAGUCUGGGGCGCCGGGCACGGCCAGGGGGCAGCGACAGCAGUUUUGGGCUCCACCAGAGCGGGGCCCGCGGCUCCGCGCCCCGACGCCCCGCUCUCCCCGCCUCCCUGUUUGUACCGGAGACUCUUUGGGAGAUUCAAUGCGGAUUUUCACCGUGACCGCGCGGCCCUUCUCCUGAGGGGGGAGGACAAACACUCAGAACCCGCACAAGCCAAGGACUCACUGCACAGGAAAAGUCUCCACCCCAAGCCCAGCGACACAGACUAGGCUCCAACGGUCUUCACUCUGACUUGUUCAGGCCCACCACUCAAGGACCAGACCAAAGGUGAACCUGGGAGGACAUCACUGGAGACACUACUGAGAUUAGAAAGAAUGAUGAAAGGAUCUAUGCGUAAUAUUAAGGGGGAGAUUUGGACAUGGAGAGACACAUGCCAGGAGGGAGGCCAUGUGAAGGCACAUCAGCGGAAGACGGUCCAGUGGCUGGAGUGGGGCGUCUACUGGGGAGACAACUCCUAGGAUUGCUGGCAAAUACCAGAAGCUUGGAGAGGCAAGGAAGGAUUCUGCCGAGAGCCAUGAGAGAGAGCACCGCCUGACGGAGACCUUGACUUCAGACUUCUAGACUCUAGAGCUAAGACCAUAAAUGUUUGUUUUAAGCAA
Long non-coding RNA from Felis catus (domestic cat), 886 nucleotides. RefSeq lists it as uncharacterized. The record is from RefSeq and is a predicted model, not a curated record. The transcript is spliced from 3 exons. NCBI's taxonomy places the organism in Eukaryota, Metazoa, Chordata, Mammalia, Carnivora, Felidae.